GAUGUAAUAUUAUUUAUUUUUUUUUUUUCUUUUAGAUAUGUAUUUUAUACUUCUAUAACACACAUAAUAUUUACGUUCAUCAAAAUGGAAUUCUUAUUGUUGGAAGAAAAAUAUAAAAACAUUGUGGUUAAAACUUAAUUCGGAAAUGUUAUUUAUUCAUGUGUGUUUUUUUUUUUUUUUUUUUAAACUUAUAUGUUGUUGUCUAAUUGUUGUAAUUAUGUGUUCAGUUUAUAUUUUGUCUAAAAAAAAAAAAAAAAAAACACGUUAAAAUAUUACUUUAUUUUAAAAAAAUAGCUAUUUUUUUUUGUUCCUUUUUUUUUAUAUUAAAAGGAUAAGUCAAACUAUGAAAAUAUGAUUCUUAAGAGAGAAACAGAAUGCCUACAAAAAAAAAUCAAGAAUUUAGAAGAUGUUUAUAUCGAAAAAGAAAAUAAAAUUAUGGAAAUAUUAGAAGAGAAAGAAGAUCUUAAAGAUCAUAUAUUCGAAAUAGAAAACGAAAAUUCCAAACUAAGGGAUAAUAUUGCCAAGCUUAAUGAAAGAAUAUUAGAUAUGAAGAACCAUAAAUUAUUAUUAGAAUCGAAGAUCACAAAAAAAAAUAAAAUAAUUGAUGUGAUUAAGGAAAAAUACCAAAAAAAUAUAUCAAGAAUAUUAGAAAAGUUUAAUGAAAAGGAUAAAUGCAUUAACGAGUUUCGAAGUUAUGUUAUUCACGGUAUGAGAACAUAAAAGAAAAAAAAAAAAAAAAUUCAUACAAAUUAUUGUAUUAAUAUUAGGAAUUCAUUUUUUUUAACUGCUUUCUUAUAAUU
This 800-nucleotide long non-coding RNA is filed under the name Piliocolobus tephrosceles (Ugandan red Colobus). RNAcentral describes it as "lncRNA (ENSPTEG00000002615.1)". Lineage: Eukaryota; Metazoa; Chordata; Mammalia; Primates; Cercopithecidae. The record is from RNAcentral.